GUGUCAGCAGCCGCGGUAAUACGUAGGCAGCAAGCGUUGUUCGGAGUUACUGGGCGUAAAGGGUGUGUAGGCGGCCCGUUAAGUUCCGUGUGAAAUCUCCCGGCUCAACCGGGAGGGUGCGCGGAAAACUGGGGGGCUAGAGUACGGGAUGGGAGAGUAGAAUUCCUGGUGUAGCGGUGAAAUGCGUAGAUAUCAGGAGGAAUACCGGUGGUGUAGACGGCUCUCUGGACCGUAACUGACGCUGAGACACGAAAGCGUGGGUAGCAAACAGGAUUAGAAACCCUAGUAGUCC
This 292-nucleotide ribosomal RNA is filed under the name uncultured bacterium. Its description in RNAcentral is "partial 16S ribosomal RNA". It matches the Rfam family "Bacterial small subunit ribosomal RNA", at positions 505 to 796 of the family's 1533-position model. The record is from RNAcentral.